Molecule: long non-coding RNA, 9116 nt
Filed under: Musa acuminata (dwarf banana)
Lineage: Eukaryota; Viridiplantae; Streptophyta; Magnoliopsida; Zingiberales; Musaceae
Description: long non-coding RNA (MACU_LNC003919)
Source: RNAcentral
GGUCUAUUCCGCCGGAUAUGGGCAUCACUCUUCCCCUUCUUGAAGCACUAAACAUCAACGACAACCAGUUUUACGGGCCUCUUCCAAUUUCACUGUCGAAUGCUACCAACCUCUUCAACAUUCAACUAUACAAGAACAGAUUCACAGGCACCAUACCCAGAGGUUUGGGAUCCUUACAGAAGGUAGAUCACUUUGAUCUUUGUUAUAAUCAGCUAGAAGCAAGUAAUGCUGUCGAAUGGGGCUUCCUGGAUGAUUUAGCCAACUGUAGCAGCCUGAAAUAUUUGCAAAUAACAAGCAACAAGCUCGGAGGCUUCCUGCCACGAUCGAUCGUCAAUUUUUCUACAACCCUGGAAUGGUUUGAAAUCGACGACAACAACAUAGCUGGGAGCAUUCCGGCAGAGAUCGGCAACCUGGUUUCUUUGACCUCGGUUCGGAUGAACUCGAACCUUUUCACUGGUAAAAUCCCUGCAACAGUGGGAAACCUUUCGAAUUUACAUAUAAUGGACUUGAGUAGGAACUGCUUCACAGGAGAAAUCCCAGCAACCCUUGGCAAUCUAACUCGGCUAUUCGAACUCCGCCUGCAUUCGAAUCAACUGCAAGGACCCUUACCUCCGAGUCUUGGAAACUGCCCUCUGAAUCUCUUGGAUCUUUCAGUCAACAAGUUAAAUGGCACAGUGCCGAAAGAAAUUAUGGCCAUCCCCACCCUCACCAGGUUACUUAAUGUAUCUUACAAUUCAUUGGAAGGAUCUCUGCCAUUUGAAGUUGGAAAACUAAAAAAUAUUGGUGAAUUCGACAUCUCUGGCAACAGACUAUCAGGUACAAUUCCAAGAACCCUUGGUGACUGUCAACAACUCGAUAGUCUUGACAUGGCAGGGAAUUCAUUCCAGGGAUCAAUCCCUUCGUCAUUUAGCCAGCUGAAGGGGCUCCAAUCGCUGGAUCUUUCAAGAAACAACUUGUCCGGGCUCAUACCAGAAUUUCUUGGGAAUUUUAAGUUCUUGAGCAAUCUGAAUCUCUCAUUCAACAAUUUUGAGGGUGAGCUUCCAAAACAUGGCAUCUUCACAAACCUCAGUGCGUUCUCUGUGCUUGGAAAUAGUAAGCUUUGUGGGGGUGUCCAAGCUCUGAACCUGCCUCCCUGCCCCACCCGGUCAUCACAUUUAUCCCGGAAGCUGGUAGCCGCGAUCUCAGUUGCCGGGGGAAUAAUAUGCCUAAUAUUUCUCCUCGCUUUGUUUGGCAUUCAUCGUUGGAUACGUAAGUCGAAGAAGGAGCCUCGUGCCGCAGACGACAGAAUGGUUCCACAUAUGAUGGUCACAUAUGCCGAGUUGCUAAGAGCUACAGAUGGUUUCUCUUCUGCUAAUCUCAUCGGCGUGGGAAGCUUUGGUUCGGUGUACAAAGGGUUACUCAAUUAUGAGGAAUACCAACUUGUUGCCGUCAAGGUAUUCAACCUCCAACAGAGAGGAGCUUCAGGGAGCUUCGUUGCUGAAUGCGAAGCGCUGAGAAAUGUCCGGCAUCGGAACCUCGUCAAGAUUUUAACAGCUUGCACAAGUACAGAUUACCGGGGAAAUGAUUUCAAAGCUUUGCUUUAUGAGUUCAUGCCGAAUGGGAGCCUAGAGAAGUGGGUGCAUCCAGAAGCAAACGAGCAAGGUCAGACGCGGGCGUUAAGCCUUAUCCACAGGUUAAAUAUAUUGAUCGAUGUGGCCUCCGCAUUAGAUUACCUCCACCAUCAUGGGCCAGAGCCGAUUGUCCACUGUGACAUAAAGCCAAGCAAUGUUCUUUUGGACCAUGACAUGGUGGCUCAUGUUGGAGACUUUGGAUUGGCGAGGUUCCUCAACAGAAGCCCCACUGAAGCAUCUCAAAGAUCUUCUACCUCCAUGUUAUUCAAGGGGUCCAUCGGUUACGUUGCACCAGGUACAUUGCAUUAACCAAGAGCAAAAUAUGUUAUCUUUAUAUGCCAUUACUUGCGCAGUUGUGUUCCUCAAGUUCUUCUCUUUGUACAUUUAACCUACCGAUUCAUGAUACAGAGUAUGGAGUGGCCAACAAAGUUUCGGUCGAAGGGGAUGUCUAUAGUUACGGGAUACUUCUGCUGGAAACACUCACGGGGAAGAGGCCUACUGGUGAAAGUUUCAGGGACGGUCUCAGCCUUCCUCGAUAUGUGGAGAUGGCACUCCCGGAGCGGGUCUCCGAAAUCAUCGAUCCAAACCUGCACUUCGAGAAAGGUGAAGCUGCAAAUGGUCACAUUCAAGGCACCGAUUACAUUCGAGACAAAGCAGUGGAGUGCGUGAACUUGUCGCUCAGGAUCGGCGUCAGGUGCGCCAAGGAAUCCCCACAAGAACGAAUGCAGAUGCGAGAUGUCAUCAGUGAAUUAAUUGCAAUCAGGAACGGAUGGAUCCACCACUAGAUUAUGAUCCGGAAUUUGGAAGCACAAGGGAUUGUUAGAGAGGUUGCUUGCUCGAUCCUUCUGAAUAAUAAUAAUAAUAAAAGUAGCUGUGUGGUAUUUGUUUUCUUUUGUUUUCUUUUUCCAAAUCACCUAAUUAAUAUACGGUGCUUCACAAGCUGGUCCCGUGGACUCAGUUGUAUGAUACCUUUCUUAUGUAGAGUUCAUCAUUAAACUGCAUCAAGCUACACGAUAGCCGAGUGAAAAAUCCUUUGUCAUUCUAAAUCUGUAGUGACCUCAAUUGAUGGGUGUGAAGAGAACAAACGGUCCACUUGGCGCAACAGAUUUCAAUCUAUAUGCAUAUCCACAAAAAAGAAAAACCCUAAAAAAGAUCGAACAUGAGGAAAAACGAAAGCCAACGAGAAAACUUCAGAAUUCGAAAGUUAAAAGAACAUGAGGAUCACCCUAGCAAGGACACCAAGGAAUGCCGGUCCAAAACGAAAGUUCUCUCACUUGGGACGUGCUAUAUUUCCCCACAAUAUUGUGCGAAUAAACAUAAGUUUUAAAAGAGCAUAUAUGCAAAUUUUGAUAUUUGUAAAAGACUACAUGAAAUAAAAUUAAUGAAACAAAAAAAUCAAGAUUGUCCAUCACAUGCUUUCAUGAUCCAACAUAAUAGAAUAUAGAUUGUGUAAUGCCUGAGUCUCACACAUGUUCAGCUGUAGCUACUAUGAUAAUAGAAGCACAAUAUAUAUAUAUAUAUAUGAUCCAUACUUAAUGAUAUAAUGUCUGAUAUCUAUAUUUUAUAAAUAUGAUAAAUGACAUACUUAUGUUUUAGACGUUUAAAGUUGAAAUACAUUUUUUUUUUAAUAUUAUUCUCAAUAUUUUAUGAAAUAUUAGUUGAGCAUACAAAAAAUUAAUAUUUGCUUUAUGUAUAGUUUACAAUAAAAUAACAUGAUCCUUUGGCACAACAAGCCUAAGUGUACUAACGGAUUUGAGUAUAAGAUUAAAGUUAUGAUAAUAAAUAUACAUAUAGUAAUUAGAAAUGACGGUUGAAUUUUGUAAUCGAUCCUAAGUGAAUCUUAAGGCUCGAACGAAUUUGAAUAUAAUUAAAGUAACAAAGUUUAAAUUUUAAAUCUCAUAUAUAUAUAUAUAUAUAUAUAUAUAUAUAUAUAUAUAUAUAUAUAUAUAUAUAUAUAUAUAUAAGAUAAUAAGUUACUUAAGUAUGGAUGGUGUAAUAAAAAAAUUAAAUAGAGAUACAAAUAAAAAAAGAAUAUUAUACUAAAUGUUGAGAUAUAUAAGUGAGAUCGAAGAAUGAGCAUAGAUAAAAAAAAAAAAAUAUCUUUAUUAAACUAAAUUAAACUCAAUUGAAGUUGCUGCAACAUUAGAAUUGUUUUAGUAAAAAGAAAUUUGAAAUGAGAUGUAAUGAGAUUGAAUAAUAGACAUCAAGAUACCCUCUACCUCUACCUUAUUUUAGUCAUAUCUUCUUUACUUAUAACUCAUGAUCAUUUCUCUCAUUCUUUAGCCAUUUUAUCAGCUUUAUUUAUGGAGCUCAAGAAACCCUAACUCUAAAAAAAAUUGAGGUAAGAAAAAUAUAUUUUUUUUCUUUACUAUAUUUAGGAUUUUAAUUUUAUAAAUUUCAAAUUGAUUUUUUUAGCUACUUUUGAGUAACAUAAAAUUUGAAUUUAUCUUUAAUUUUUGGAUAUAUUUUAUAUGAAUAUCUUAUGAUUCUAAAACCUUUAGUGUAUUUGUGCAUGGAGGUAUGAGUAUCCUAAUAUGAGAUACUAUUCAAGCUAAAUUGGCUCCUCAAGGAUAUGAUUAGGUUUUGAGCUUCUGAUAUAUUUUAAAAUAUUCCUUUAAGGUUAUAUAAGAUUUGAAAUUGAGUGAGUACAACUUCUAUGCACUAGGAUAUGAGAUUUAUAAGUUCAAAUAGUCCUAACUCUAUUUCAGCAGAAUAGAAUAGGUGUUGGUAAUAAAUUAAGAGGAUAGUUUAACCUUCAAAUAAUUUUAUUUUAAGCUAAAAUUUGAUGUAUAUUUAGUUUUAUGUCUCUUAGUUUUCUAUAAAAUUUUAUGAUAAUUUAAGAUUAGAAUAGUGAAGUAAAACUUUUUCACAUAAUUGUCUGAUGGUUUGAUUGAUACUAACUAAUUCAUUUGAUUAUAGAGUAACUAUUAAAAAAUUAAUGGUGAAAUCUAGAUGUAUUUUUAGGUUAAGUAUAGUUUAUUUUAUAAAAUAUUUUAUCAAACUAUUUUCAUAAAUUAUUAUAGUGAAUUAUUAUAAAUCAAUAGUUCAAGAGAUAAAGUUCUUAAUUAAGACAUCUUAUGAUUAUGUGCUUCCACUUUGAUAAGUGUAUUACUCUUUAAUAGACUCGAUCGAUAAAAAAUAUGAUCUUUCAUUAACAUCUUUAUUUUUGAGUUGAAUCGAGUAAAUAUAAGUUUAAUUUACUAUAAAAUAAUAAUUAUAUAAAUUAUAAUAUUUAUAGUAUAUUUUGAAAAGCAUAUUUUGGAAUGAUAUAAUUGUCAUGGGAUAAGUAUGAGCUAUAUAUAUAUAUAUAUAAUGAUGAAAAUAUAUUGUAUACAUGCAUAUAUGAUGAUAUCUGGUGUGGGAGUAUAUGUAUUUUCUUUGACGUGCGGUAUAUGAGUGCAUGAAUAUCCUACAAUAUAGAAGUACACUUAUAUAUUAGUGAUGUGAGAGUGCAUAUAUAUGUUAUGUUAUAGAGUAUAAAAAUCCAUAAAUUUAUAAUAUUUACUACAUGUGUAUAUAAAUAUUUUAAAUUAUUUUGAUAUAGAAUUUUAACUCUUUAUUUUCAUAUAUUAUAUUGUAGGACUAUGCUUGCUAAAGAAGUCAUAGGAUUUAAUACAAUAUACAUGAUAUUAUAUAUGCUCACAUAAAUAAAGCUAUAAAGGAUUAUACUUACUAAAUCAUUACUCACUAUAGAUCAUAUUUUUUAGGUAAGAAUAUUAAUACCUCACCCAAGUGAUUGGAUAGGGAGUGAGCAUAUGUAAGUCUAUAACAAUGCAUAUAUAGACGAUGAGCUAAAAAUAUUUUAUGUAUAUAAAUUUUGGAUAUAUUAUAUUUAUGAUUUCUUUUGAUUAGAUGUUUAAUUAUAUAUUGGUGUAAAAAAUACUGUGUAUAUAGAGAAAAACCUAUUAUUUUGUUUAGUAAGUUAGUAAAUUUUAAUUUUUAAUAUUUCGUUUAGUAAGUUAGUAAGUCUAAAUUUUUAAGAUUACGGACUUUUCAUUGUAUUCCUAUUGAUAACAAUAAUAAAAAUAGAAAUAUAAUAUUUUAUUUUAAUCAUACAUGUAGAAUAUAUGAGUGGAACCACAAGCAAAAUGUUAGAGCUUGGAUCACUUAAGUUGAGAUAUCACAGUAGUGCACGUGAGGUGAUAAUAGUGCAUGUGAGGCUUCUAAUACUAUUUGUUGCCGUCCAUCCUAAUAUAAUAAUUGACCUAUUAAUUUAUUAAGAUUAGAUCAAUAAUUUAAAAUAUAUAAACCAAAUUUAAUAGUAUACACAUAUCAAACCUUGAUAGAUUAAAUUAAGUUUGUUUCGAAACUAAACCGUGGUAUUGCACAAAAUCAUAUAUAAUUAAAGGUUGCUCGAAGCAUUUGAUCAACAUUUGGCCACGCCUAUAAACAUCACUAUUAACAUUUCCUCGGUACACCUACAAUGAUUUUAAUUUUACAUCUAUAUAUCGCUUGUAAUUUGACCAAAAUAAUCCUGUAACAAAUAUAAUAAAUACUCUUGAUUCAAAUUGUAGCGAUAAGAGAAAUAACUAUCUUCGAGAUCGAUGCCAAAAGUAAAUUUGUUCAUAAAAUAUUUCCGGAGUUUAUGCAGCAACUUCCGAGAUGGUAUGGAACGUAUCAAAUUCACUUGCUCAAUCAAAUAAAAUAAUCGGCGUGGUGACGUCCGAAGAACAUAAAGAGAAGAUCCAGCAGCAGCAGCAAUAUGAACUUGCGCUGUUCGUGAUACACAGUUCACACGCUCAUGUGAAACGCAGAACAAACCCCGAUUGCCAACUUUGACGGACGACGGCUACGAUCUUAAGUAGCCUUACUUGUUUGACCGAAAUCGAUCACAGAAUCAACAAGAAAAGGAUAUAAAAUCAUUAGCAAGGCCAUGUUCGAUGGUCCCGUCGUCUACUAACUUUGAGAAACAGUGGGCUUUUUGUUCUUAUUGACGUUAGCUGUUCAACGAUUCAUUGAGAGUUCGGUGAAAGGAAACACUUUUCGGUCUCAAUUCAUCGGCAACAUAUAGUUUAGUGAUAACAUACACCAUGAUUCAAUUGCUAAGGAGAUAUCACCAUUGGAGUGACGACGGACUCCGUACAGCAAAGGCAAAGCGAUCGAAAGUUGAGGGCGACGGCGACAUAAUGGGGAAAGAGGUCCAUGGAUCGGUAGUUGGAAGUCAAAUGGCUGCUACCACUGCAAUGUAUACCCAUGCAUCGUCAUCGUCGAGCUGUUCUUGUCUUCAUCUGUGGCAAUCAUCUUAUCUUUCCAGAAACAGGAAACUAAUAAACUUGUCAUGUUUGCUGUCCGAGCGCAUCUUUUUCAUCUUUUCAGGGAAAAAAAAAUCUCGUGUUGCUGCAACACGCAGAAAGUUCUGCUGCCAUUUUUUAUUUUUUUUCUGGGACGCGAGUCAACAUAGCUAUUAGACAAUGACAAAAGCUCGUAAUAAAUAGACUCACACAACGGAAGGGCGAAACUGUUUAGCUGGCAGUCCUGCGCUUUAUCAACUCAUAGUCCAUCAUCAUCUCAUUUAAUCGAAUCCUAAUUUAUAUUAAAAAAGUAUAGAUAUUAUAUUUUAAAUUUUAUAAAAAGAGAUAGAAAAAGAUAUUAACGAGAUAGUUUUUGAUAGUGGGAUUAUAAAGAAAACGAGGAUAAUAAGAAAGAAAAAGAAAAAGAAAAAGAAGAAGAUAACCACAACAUGAAAAAACUGUUUUGCUUCACGCUACUGUACUACCUGCCGCGUUAGUACUUGAGAGGGAGUUAGUGCGUGCGUCAAAAGUUCCAUCGCGUCAAACAAAUUGAUUUAAAGUUGUUUCUCUCGGACCUAUAUAUACAGCAUCGAUGGCAUGGCUGCUCAAGCAACUCCAAUCACCGCUCUUGUUCUUCUCAAUACCCGAAUGGAGAUCAAACGGCGUAGCUCCGUAAUUGGGUCCUGCAGCUUUCUCCUUGUUUUGCUCCUGUCUGGCGUGGGCUUCUCGGCUUCCCAACCUGAGACUGCCGCCGCCGAGGCCACCACUGACCGCCUCGCCCUCCUCUCCUUCAAGGCCCUCAUCUCCGACGAUCCAUCCCGAGCGCUGGAAUCCUGGAACACUACGUCCCUCCAUUUUUGCCGGUGGCGAGGCGUGACGUGCGGCAACCACAGUGGCCAGCUGAGGGUCACCACACUGGAACUGGAGUCCCUCGCCUUGGCCGGUAAGAUAUCUCCAUCCAUAGCCAAUCUCACCUUCCUCCAGAGGCUGCACCUCCCACAGAACCAACUUCAGGGUCCCGUUCCACAAGAGCUCGGCCUGCUGUCCCGCCUUCAGCAUCUCAACCUUAGUUACAACAGCUUUCGCGGCACUGUUCCGACGACAAUAGCGAACCUCUCCUCCCUUAUCCUGCUUGAUCUGUCCUAUAAUCAACUUGUAGGAGCCAUCCCACACAACCUCAGCUCAGAACUACAGUAUAUAAAUCUGUCAAAUAAUACCCUCGUAGGUGGGAUUCCCGAUAAUCUUCGCUCCUUGUCAAAGCUGAAGCUGCUCGCCCUGAGCGGCAACAACCUCACCGGAAACAUUCCUCCAGAAAUCGGGAGCCUUGUAAAUUUGACUGUCCUCGAUUUGUCUAUCAACAAUCUUGAAGAAUCUAUUCCUCUAGAGAUUGGAAAUCUUAUCAGCCUUAAAGCGGUUUACCUGGAUUACAAUAAAUUCACCGGCGUUAUUCCUGGCUCGAUAGGGAACCUGACUUCCCUUGUUUGGCUUCAGCUCUCGCAAAAUCAACUUACCGGAGCCAUCCCUCGCAGCCUCAGCCAUUGCUCAGAACUACAAUAUAUUUUCCUGGGAAAUAAUAUGCUUGAAGGGGAGAUUCCCAGCGAUAUUAGUUCCUUGUCAAACCUGAAAGUGCUCUACCUGUGGAACAACCGCCUCACAGGAAGCAUUCCUCCAGAAAUCGGGAACCUUACGAAUUUGACGAAUCUCAAUUUGUAUAGCAACAGACUUGAAGGCUCUGUUCCGCGGGAGAUUGGGAAUCUUGUCGGACUAAGAGAAGUUCUUUUACAUGACAACCAACUCACCGGAAGUAUACCAUCUGAGAUUGGAAACCUCGUGAAUCUACGUACUCUUGCUUUGUUGAUUAAUGGCUUUGUGGGUACAGUUCCACCAGCAAUUGGAAACCUCACUUCUCUCACUUAUCUUGGAGUGUCAAUGAAUAAUCUUGGAGGAAUCAUCCCGCCUUCCAUUUGGAACCUCUCCUCUCUCAGAACACUAGAGCUCCAGAGCAACCAAUUUACCGGGUCUAUUCCGCCGGAUAUGGGAAUCACUCUUCCCCUUCUUGAAGAACUAGACAUCAACGACAACCAGUUUUACGGGCCUCUUCCGAUUUCACUGUCGAAUGCUACCAACCUCAACAACAUUCAACUAUACGAGAACAGAUUCACAGGCACCAUACCGAGAGGUUUGGGAUCCUUGCAGCAGUUAUUUCACUUUGAUGUUACUUAUAAUCAGCUAGAAGCAAGAAACGCAGCCGAGUGGGGCUUUUUGGAUGAUUUAG